Molecule: long non-coding RNA, 245 nt
Filed under: Gallus gallus (chicken)
Lineage: Eukaryota; Metazoa; Chordata; Aves; Galliformes; Phasianidae
Source: RNAcentral
CUGAGAACAGUGCUACUUUUAUUUUCCAGAAACAAGGUUUGGAAUGUCACUACUUCUCCGUGAGCGGAAUUCCAUAACCCACCAGCUCCCAGGAGAUGGUUUGAAUUCCACUGAAGAAGUGAAUUUUACCAGGCGCUGGGGAUAAAGCCAAAAAGAAGCAUUAGAAAUACGUACGUAAAAAAUGGGAGAGAAGAUGUUGCUCCUAACUUGAUAAUGCACAGAUGCUAGCACUGCUGUGUAAAAUU